RNAcentral lists this ribosomal RNA (427 nucleotides) under uncultured bacterium. RNAcentral describes it as "bacterial SSU rRNA". It matches the Rfam family "Bacterial small subunit ribosomal RNA", at positions 355 to 774 of the family's 1533-position model. The record is from RNAcentral.
UGGGGAAUUUUGGACAAUGGGCGCAAGCCUGAUCCAGCAAUGCCGCGUGCAGGAUGAAGGCCGUCGGGUUGUAAACUGCUUUUGUACGGAGCGAAAAGGUCUGCCCUAAUACGGUGGGCUCAUGUCGGUACCGUAAGAAUAAGCACCGGCUAACUACGUGCCAGCAGCCGCGGUAAUACGUAGGGUGCGAGCGUUAAUCGGAAUUACUGGGCGUAAAGCGUGCGCAGGCGGUUAUAUAAGACAGAUGUGAAAUCCCCGGGCUCCACCUGUGACCUGCAUUUGUGACUGUAUCGCUAGAAUACAGUACAGGUGGAUGGAAUUCCGCGUGUAGCAGUGAAAUGCGUAGCUAUGCGGAGGAACACCGAUGGCGAAGGCAAUCCCCUGGGCCUGUACUGACGCUCAUGCCCGGAAGCGUAGGGAGCAAACA